GGGUUUUAUUAAUUAAAAGGGGUGAUUUUCCAGUUUUCGGACAUUAACACAAAAACGUUUUCAGCAGUUAUCAUGAAACUUUGCUGAAUUGUUUAUAGCUAUUGUUGUAAGCGCCCUUUCUAUUUUCAUUAAUUUUUGUCAGAUAUUCCUGGCCAUAUGUUUUCCUUUAAUAAGAUAAUUCUAAAUACAAGUCAUGUUCCAAAAAAAUGGAAUUUAUUACAAAGGAUAAUCAAAAUAUAUACUGGAAUUGUCCUGGACCUUACUUCUGUGAUGGGUAUAUGUUAAUGGAAUCCUUCUCCUACGGGACCAACCGAUAUUAGUAGUGGUAGACCCCAAUGUACAAUGAUCUUCAAUUUCUAUCGAAAAAUUGCUCUGAAAAAAGGGCUAACAUUCCAAUUUUCAAUAACAGUUAACAGCAAAUACAUUAUCAC
Molecule: long non-coding RNA, 431 nt
Filed under: Mytilus galloprovincialis (Mediterranean mussel)
Lineage: Eukaryota; Metazoa; Mollusca; Bivalvia; Mytilida; Mytilidae
Source: RNAcentral